AGUACCAAUGAGGGAAGUUUCAUCAAAAAGAAAAGGUACCUAUGCAUCAGAGAUCUUAAGAAACAUACCCCAAAUUACACAGCAAGUAUCUUAUUUACUAAGGAGAGAGCAAAGCUCUUUGUACAUAUUUCUGUACCGAGUCUUAUGCACCAAUGUUUAUGGCAGCUUCGUUAGCAAUAGCCCCAAGUUGGCAACACGGCAAACGUCCACGAACAAGUGAACAGGCAAAUUGCAUUAUACCCAUAUCGUGGAAUAUUACUCAACAAGGAAAAAAAAAGAAUGGCUUAUUGAUGCCUGCAACAACAUGGACGAUUCACGGGCACGUGGAGCAGAGCUCCUGACCAUCUUGGCAGAUGACACUGUCCUCGGCUCACCUUCCCGAAUCAGAAGUCGACUGCGUUCCUAGGAUCUGCUCAUGCCACGCUCAGUGACCCCGGCCUCCUAGGCCUCAGCUCCAGCCCGCUCCCUAAGUCACCCCUCCUCCCAGGCCCCUAACGCCGCCCUCCCCAUCCGGCCAUCCCUCGUCACUCCCUUGAGUCACCCAGAGGGUUUGCUCAUCAGGCUCCUGGCUUCCUUUCCUGCCUUUUCUCCGUCGCAUCCUCCCGCAUCAAGCAACUGCGGUGAUCUCUAAAAAGCACGCUCUGCCCAGAAGUCUUCGUGGGCUCGGGCUGGAGCGAGGACGUGGGGUCGCCCCAUUUGUGCCCAUCGCGCCCCCAUGCCUGCCUGUGGGGCUUAAAAGGCCCACGAGAGCUCCUCUAGCUUGUGGACGGAGGCGCAGCGUCUAGGGAGGUUGGUCUCCCCCUUGGGUAAUGCCCCCUCUCCCUUGGCCCCCAGAGGUGCCCCUUCCUCGCACAGACCUUUUCUGAACUUGGGUCUGUCCCGGGACCUGCGCGUGACCCCUUCAGGAGCACCCCCCGUUCCCACAGGGCCCUUGUGCCUGGUGUGCCAGCUGGGUCCUGGCUAGCCUCACGCUCCACUUUUCAAAGAGAUCCAAAAGCUAUGACGACAGCGGUCGGAUUUGUCACUUCAGUGAUGAAAACGCAGUAAGAGAAAUAUAAGCCAGUCACUCGAUGUUCCUCAACGUCUCGCCUAUACAAUCACCUCCCAAUUUAAAGGAGAUUUGGAGAAGAAAUGGAGCACAUUUUCCGGAAGGCCAUCCACCACUUUAGUUCCAAACUAAGUUUCCACGGAAAAGGAGUUUUGGACACAAUGUUAAUACUUAUGAUGACUAACACAUUCACCUGUUGAGAAGUAGGA
Canis lupus familiaris (dog) is the source of this 1257-nucleotide long non-coding RNA. RefSeq lists it as uncharacterized. The record is from RefSeq and is a predicted model, not a curated record. The transcript has 5 exons. Lineage: Eukaryota; Metazoa; Chordata; Mammalia; Carnivora; Canidae.